GACGAACGCUGGCGGCGCGCCUAACACAUGCAAGUCGAACGAGCGAGAGGAGGUUUCCUUUCUCAAGCGAGUGGCGAACGGGUGAGUAACGCGUGAGGAACCUGCCUCAAAGAGGGGGACAACAGUUGGAAACGACUGCUAAUACCGCAUAAGCCCACGACCCGGCAUCGGGUAGAGGGAAAAGGAGCAAUCCGCUUUGAGAUGGCCUCGCGUCCGAUUAGCUAGUUGGUGAGGUAAUGGCCCACCAAGGCGACGAUCGGUAGCCGGACUGAGAGGUUGAACGGCCACAUUGGGACUGAGACGCGGCCCAGACUCCUACGGGAGGCAGCAGUGGGGAAUAUUGCACAAUGGGGGAAACCCUGAUGCAGCGACGCCGCGUGGAGGAAGAAGGUCUUCGGAUUGUAAACUCCUGUUGUGGAGGAGGAUAAUGACGGUACUCAACAAGGAAGUGACGGCUAACUACGUG
RNAcentral lists this ribosomal RNA (466 nucleotides) under uncultured bacterium. RNAcentral's name for it is "partial 16S ribosomal RNA". It matches the Rfam family "Bacterial small subunit ribosomal RNA", at positions 28 to 507 of the family's 1533-position model. The record is from RNAcentral.